CCUACGGGGUGCAGCAGUGGGGAAUAUUGCACAAUGGGGGAAACCCUGAUGCAGCGACGCCGCGUGAGUGAAGAAGUAUUUCGGUAUGUAAAGCUCUAUCAGCAGGGAAGAAAAUGACGGUACCUGAUUAAGAAGCCCCGGCUAACUACGUGCCAGCAGCCGCGGUAAUACGUAGGGGGCAAGCGUUAUCCGGAUGUACUGGGUGGAAAGGGAGCGUAGACGGCAGCACAAGUCUGGAGUGAAAUGCCGGGGCUUAACCCCGGAACUGCUUUGGAAACUGUGCAGCUAGAGUGCAGGCGAGGUAAGUGGAAGGCCUAGUGUAGCGGUGAAAUGCGUAGAGAUUAGGAGGAACACCAGUGGCGAAGGCGGCUUACUGGACUGUAACUGACGUUGAGGCUCGAAAGCGUGGGGAGCAAACAGGAUUAGAUACCCGAGUAGUC
RNAcentral lists this ribosomal RNA (440 nucleotides) under uncultured bacterium. RNAcentral describes it as "partial 16S ribosomal RNA". It matches the Rfam family "Bacterial small subunit ribosomal RNA", at positions 338 to 795 of the family's 1533-position model. The record is from RNAcentral.